ACUCCAACCAAUUCCAGUACCACCUAUCACCACCAUCUUCGCACUCUCCAUCUCGUCCACCUCCUCGGCAGUGGGUGGCUUCUCCGAACUCCAACCUUAUCCCUCCUCUUCCUAUCCUCCCCCACCACCUGCACAUCCUUAUCCUUCUCAUGUUCCUCCUCCACCCCACCAGUUCCCUCCUCCUCGUCCUCACUUGCCUGCUCCUCCUUCCCAUUCUCAGAUUCCCCAAUCUUACGCUCAGGUUAAUCAGGAAUGGCGAAAUUCGAACUGGGAAAGCACCAAAGCUGGGACUACCAAGCUCACAACAAUGCGGAGGAAUGGGCUGCUAGAGCCAGAGCAUGGGCAGCACAAAAAGCUGCAAUGGAGGAUCACCAUCCUCAGUCCCAAUUUACAAAAGUUGCCAGAACUGAAGAACAGAACCAGUUUCUGCAAAAUGUUGAUUCUCAUUAUCAAGAUUUUCAGCAACAGCCAUUUCCUGCAUCAGGCUAUCAACAGUUUCCAGUUUCAGCUGCACCUUUGCACCAGCAACCAAUAGCUUAUUCGCAGGAGAAUGCAUCUUUCAACUCUGGGGAAUCUUCUAAUGUUCAUGAAGGGCAUAUACCUUAGACUGUUGGUGGUGGAACUUCAGCUGGAGCACCAACUACAAGUCCAUCUGUUCUUCAGCAGUAUGUACCUUCUAGUUAUUCUACUGUUACAGGUAAUAAUUCAUUUAGAAUAUUGUACUUGCAUGUGAAACAUGUAUUCAAGAACUACUCCUAAGUAGGAAACUUUUCUGCUGUUCUUUUCCUUAGGGUGGCACCAUUUGUGGUUUAUUUUGCUGUUUUAAUGUUUUUUUCAAUUACACUUUCUCUUUUAUUGAUUUGGAUAUUAGUUACCAGUUUCUUUAACUCAUGUGGCAUUGACAUAUGAAAAUUAUUUUCCUGAAAGUCCCAUUGAAUCAUGUUUACAUUUAGUCAAUUGAUAAUUUCAGUUUGGCUAUUUUGUUUCUCUCUGGUACUACUUUCUCUCUGUUUACAAUGAUAGCGGUGAAUUGAAUGACAGAAUGAGGAAACCUGUGUUUACUUAUUGGAAUUAUUAGUAAUGCUCCUGAGCUCUAAGCUUAAGAUAAUAUCAUUUUAGGACAAUGAAAACUUUUCUUGUUUAAUUCUUGCUACAUGGAAGUAUAAUAUAGUUGAAAAGCAUGUGUUGGAAUGAAUGGGAAAUUGGGAUUAAACCUGACGCGAUGCUAGACUUCCUAUUUUGGACAAUGCAACAGCUGAAAUCUUAGUUUGGAUAUUUUCCUUUUCUAAUUAGGACUUAUUUAUUGUUUCCUUUUCUAUUUAGAACUUAGUUUAUUUUCCUAUUCUAA
RNAcentral lists this unclassified non-coding RNA (1348 nucleotides) under Hevea brasiliensis (rubber tree). The record is from RNAcentral. Lineage: Eukaryota; Viridiplantae; Streptophyta; Magnoliopsida; Malpighiales; Euphorbiaceae.